GAUGAACGCUAGCGGCAGGCUUAAUACAUGCAAGUCGAGGGGCAGCAUGGUGUAGCAAUACACUGAUGGCGACCGGCAAACGGGUGCGGAACACGUACAGAACCUUCCUUCGAGCGGGGAAUAGCCCAGAGAAAUUUGGAUUAAUACCCCAUAGUAUUAUGGAGUGGCAUCACUUUGUAAUUAAAGAUUUAUCACUUGAAGAUGGCUGUGCGGCUGAUUAGGUAGUUGGCGGGUAACGGCCCACCAAGCCUGCGAUCAGUAACUGGUGUGAGAGCACGACCAGUCACACGGGCACUGAGACACGGGCCCGACUCCUACGGGAGGCAGCAGUAAGGAAUAUUGGUCAAUGGACGAAAGUCUGAACCAGCCAUGCCGCGUGGAGGAUGAAGGUCCUCUGGAUUGUAAACUUCUUUUAUAUUGGGACGAAAAAAAGGCCUUUCUAGGUCGUCUGACGGUACCAU
Molecule: ribosomal RNA, 461 nt
Filed under: uncultured bacterium
Lineage: Bacteria
Description: bacterial SSU rRNA
Rfam family: Bacterial small subunit ribosomal RNA
Source: RNAcentral